This 800-nucleotide long non-coding RNA is filed under the name Parus major (Great Tit). Its description in RNAcentral is "lncRNA (ENSPMJG00000017259.1)". Lineage: Eukaryota; Metazoa; Chordata; Aves; Passeriformes; Paridae. The record is from RNAcentral.
CUCAGAGCUCUGUGCACUCCCAGCUGAGAGAAACCCAGCCAAGGGCUUUUCCCAUAUACAGGAGAGCCUCUAAUUUAAAUGAGUGCUAUUAACUUUGGUUGUCCUCUCAAUGGUUUUUAGUUUAAAAUUAACAAAGCAUAUGACUGAGUUUUUCUCAGAGUGGCUUCCAAAAGGAUCCAGGAGGCAGGAGAGUAUGGUGAGACCUGGCAGGUAGGAGAGCUGCCCCUGUGAAGCCUGCUUACUCCAGCUAGAGUGCUCUCUCUCACUUUAAUACUCACCCUGUUCCCAUCUUAAUGACAUUUCACUCAAUCAAAGAAGAUGUGCUGCAAAAAUAAAGGUACCAGGUCAUGCCAAGAUAUGUGUGGGAAGAGUAGAGAGAAUGUGUGGAGCACCAAGAAUUAUAUGCCCAAGGACAAUCAGAUUUGUACCAUCUUUUUCUAAUCUUUUCUAUUCUAUUUGAUUGUGGUUUGCCAAAAUCAACACCACUGAUUUUAAUACAGGUGCCUUUGUUCCCAGAAAUGGUCUGAAUGAAACCUGGGAUUAUGAAUUCUUUCCCACGUCAUGCUGAACCUUGGGAAGCUUUCCAUACAGCAGAUGGAGCUUGUAAACAUGACUUUGGGUGCCAUUGUAUCCAUCCAAGUAAUAUCCAAGAUGUGAAUAUUGCAAUUGCUGCAUGGAGAAGCUGCCAGACUUAGAAGAGUCAAAAUUUGGGCUUCAGGGCUGAAAUGGAGAAAGGCUUUGGAAAUCUUCAAGUUGUCUUUCAUGCAAACCUUUCAGGCACAUUGGGGUGUAGAAUAUGG